UGUUAGCGGCGGACGGGUGAGUAACACGUGGGUAACCUACCUAUAAGACUGGGAUAACUCCGGGAAACCGGGGCUAAUACCGGAUAAUAUUUUGAACCGCAUGGUUCAAUAGUGAAAGACGGUUUCGGCUGUCACUUAUAGAUGGACCCGCGCCGUAUUAGCUAGUUGGUAAGGUAACGGCUUACCAAGGCAACGAUGCAUAGCCGACCUGAGAGGGUGAUCGGCCACACUGGAACUGAGACACGGUCCAG
This 251-nucleotide ribosomal RNA is filed under the name uncultured Staphylococcus sp. RNAcentral's name for it is "partial 16S ribosomal RNA". It matches the Rfam family "Bacterial small subunit ribosomal RNA", at positions 90 to 334 of the family's 1533-position model. The record is from RNAcentral. Lineage: Bacteria; Bacillati; Bacillota; Bacilli; Caryophanales; Staphylococcaceae.